RNAcentral lists this long non-coding RNA (1423 nucleotides) under Medicago truncatula (barrel medic). RNAcentral describes it as "lncRNA gene9713". The record is from RNAcentral. Lineage: Eukaryota; Viridiplantae; Streptophyta; Magnoliopsida; Fabales; Fabaceae.
UGUCACAACUAGAAUACUUCAAAUUUCAUCUUUCCGUAUCAAACCGGCCCAUGAAAGGUAAUUUUAACUAUUAAUACUAGAAGAUUGUUGAUUACACCGAAAGAUUUGUUAUCACACACUUAAAAAUGAAAAAUAAAAAAUAAAAAAAUCAGCGGUAGUUAACUACAAUUCAUUACAAAAUAAAAAUUAAACAAACAAAUGAAAGUUAAUUGCCACCGGAGGUAUUAAAGGUCAUUUUCAGGUAUAUGAUUAUAAUCUUUGAAGUUUAAAGUGCAAUCUUCUUAAUAUCAAGAGUAUUGAAAACAAAUCUCGGAUGAGAAAAAAAUGGUCUGAUCCAAAAUAGUUUCAAGAUUGCAUGGCGCCAUGUAUUUUACAAGCUCAUGAUUCAAUAUUGAGAUAGAGAAAAAAAUCAUGAUAAAAUUUAGGGUAAAUACCUAUUUUCAUCUCUGAAAUAUUAACAAAUUCCGGUUUUAGUCACUGUAAAAAAAAAGAUUUAGAUUUUGUCCCUGUAAUUUCAGAUUCUUUCACUUUUGGUCCUUCAUUUCACCACAUCAGCAGAAUCUGCAUACAUAGCACGUAAAAUGAGGGAUCAAAAGUGGAGUGAUCUGAAAUUACAGGGACCAAAAGUGGGAGGAAUAUGAAAUUAUAUUGACGUAAUUUAUGCAGAUUCUACUGACGUGAUAAAAGGAGGGACCAAAAGUGGAAGAAUCUGAAAUACAGGGACAUAAUCUAAAUAUUUUUUUUACAGGGACUAAAACCGUAAUUCGCUAAUAUUACAUAGACGAAAAGAGGUAUUUACCCUAAAAUUUAUUAAAAUGAUAUGAAUCAUUUCAUCUUAUUGAAUUUGAAUUACAAAGGAGUAUUUGUAGAAGCAAAUACAAGUACACCAAAGAAAUCAUAGAUCUUAUUCUACUAAAAUAUUGACUUCUCAAUGGCUAGAUUCGAAGAGGGUCUUAUCAUUUGUAUCUUCAUCAUUUGAACUUUAAUCAUUCAACAAUAACAAUGUUCAUACAUACACGUUGCAACAUAAGGAGCAGUACAAUUUGAAUUUCUACAAUCGAAAUCAAAAUUGCAGGGGUCGCGAAAUGCUAUGAGAAAAAACAAUACAAAAAUUAUGGUGUAUCACUGAAAUUGGAAGAAAGAUUAUAUAUAAGAUAAAAAGAGAAAAUUGUAUGCAGAAAAAGACUUACCAGUGACAUUAAUUGCAAAAAGAAAAAGAAAGAGGAUCAUUGCAUGCACAAACUUCAUAAUUUUAGCCAUAGUUUUUACAUCCCUUCAAAAAAAAAAGCCAUAGUUUUUACAUGUGCAUGUUACAAAGAGAGCUUUAUUUGAUUUUUUUAUAAUGUAAAAUAAUUAUUCUACUUCAAUCAAAUAGUUUUAUUUUUUGUUUUACAUUUCCAGAGUUGCAAGAAACAUAAUUAAU